UAAAACACCACAAAAGAGAUUCUUCAGUUGC
This 31-nucleotide non-coding RNA is filed under the name Mus musculus (house mouse). The record is from RNAcentral. Lineage: Eukaryota; Metazoa; Chordata; Mammalia; Rodentia; Muridae.